Molecule: unclassified non-coding RNA, 449 nt
Filed under: Hevea brasiliensis (rubber tree)
Lineage: Eukaryota; Viridiplantae; Streptophyta; Magnoliopsida; Malpighiales; Euphorbiaceae
Source: RNAcentral
CGGAGGCUGGCUUUGAGGAGGGAGAAGCUGGAUGGGGAUUUAGGAGAAGAGGCAUCGGAGAAGUGGAACAAUCUGGGGCUGAUGCAUUUUUUUGGUGUUUUUGUUUUGCAUUGGAGUUUUGGGCUAUUGGGUACUGAUGAUGUAGGUGUUUUGGCUGUGGUUGUUCGGCAACGAAGACUCGGGUUUGAUACAGGUUGAGAUUGUAAACGGGGUGCUGAUGAAUCGGAGAAAAAUCCAAACUUGGAGCUUAUUCUUGAGCUAUGGUUACUGGAGGUACUGGGGGUGGUGGAAUUGUUGUUGCAAUCGUGGUGGUGUUGCUGCUUCUCUGUGAAUACAGUGGCUUCGCGCUCUCUAUGAAAGGAUGUGCAAAACGCCCUNNNNNNNNNNNAUUGUCAAAAACAAAAUUCAACGAGACUUGAUGGGUUAUCUGUGGAAGGAUUUGAUGCGGG